UGGGGAAUUUUGGACAAUGGGGGAAACCCUGAUCCAGCCAUCCCGCGUGUGCGAUGAAGGCCUUCGGGUUGUAAAGCACUUUUGGCAGGAAAGAAACGUCAUGGGUUAAUACCCCGUGUAACUGACGGUACCUGCAGAAUAAGCACCGGCUAACUACGUGCCAGCAGCCGCGGUAAUACGUAGGGUGCAAGCGUUAAUCGGAAUUACUGGGCGUAAAGCGUGCGCAGGCGGUUCGGAAAGAAAGAUGUGAAAUCCCAGAGCUCAACUUUGGAACUGCAUUUUUAACUACCGGGCUAGAGUGUGUCAGAGGGAGGUGGAAUUCCGCGUGUAGCAGUGAAAUGCGUAGAUAUGCGGAGGAACACCGAUGGCGAAGGCAGCCUCCUGGGAUAACACUGACGCUCAUGCACGAAAGCGUGGGGAGCAAACAGG
This 429-nucleotide ribosomal RNA is filed under the name Acidobacteriota bacterium. Its description in RNAcentral is "Acidobacteria bacterium partial 16S ribosomal RNA". It matches the Rfam family "Bacterial small subunit ribosomal RNA", at positions 355 to 776 of the family's 1533-position model. Lineage: Bacteria; Pseudomonadati; Acidobacteriota. The record is from RNAcentral.